Molecule: ribosomal RNA, 253 nt
Filed under: uncultured bacterium
Lineage: Bacteria
Description: partial 16S ribosomal RNA
Rfam family: Bacterial small subunit ribosomal RNA
Source: RNAcentral
UACGUAGGUGGCAAGCGUUGUCCGGAUUUACUGGGCGUAAAGGGCGCGCAGGCGGUUGAUUAAGUCGAAUGUGAAAGCCCCCGGCUCAACUGGGGAGGGUCAUUCGAUACUGAUCAACUUGAAGGCAGGAGAGGGUAGUGGAAUUCCCGGUGUAGUGGUGAAAUGCGUAGAUAUCGGGAGGAACACCAGUGGCGAAGGCGACUACCUGGCCUGUUCUUGACGCUGAGGCGCGAAAGCUGGGGGAGCAAACGGG